AUAACCCCCUCCUCCACUUCCACCACCACUGCUGCCUCCACCACCACCAGUGCCACCGUCACCGCUUUCUCCACUGCCUGCACUACCACUAGAUCCACCACCACCAUAUCCUCCACUGCCUCCGGUAUUUCCUUUGCAGUUUGUAUGAUAAGCUUCCAUGUUCAACUUUUCACCAUUUACAGCUGUGUAAUGUUAUGUAAUUGGGUUAGCAUAAUGUCACCAAAAUUAAAAUAAACCAUUAGAGGAGAAAUGAAAAAUACUUACAAAUUUCUUUCUUGCGAUCACAUCCCAAAAAACUUGCAUGAAUUCCACGAGCAGCUUCAUAAACGACAUAACAAAAAUGAGCUAUAAAGGUUUACCAAAUGCCAAAGUAUACAAUAACAUGCAUGAAAAUAAAAUAUUGGGCAUAAAAGUUCAUUAUAAUAUCAAGUCACUCAAAAAUGUCGAACACAUAUAAGGAAAUUAAAUAUUUCUUAGGUCUGUACCUCUAAUCUCAGCUUUAGAUAGCUUGUCAGCCAACACUACAGAGCUGAGAACCACAACAGAAAGAGAACACAUGAAGAUAAAGGGCUUCAUAUUCAUAUUGUAAGUGGACAUAAUAGUACUUACGAAAGAU
RNAcentral lists this long non-coding RNA (616 nucleotides) under Lotus japonicus. Its description in RNAcentral is "long non-coding RNA (LJAP_LNC000271)". Lineage: Eukaryota; Viridiplantae; Streptophyta; Magnoliopsida; Fabales; Fabaceae. The record is from RNAcentral.